RNAcentral lists this transfer RNA (99 nucleotides) under Vibrio diabolicus. Its description in RNAcentral is "tRNA-Leu". It matches the Rfam family "tRNA". From Rfam's summary of the family: Transfer RNA (tRNA) molecules are approximately 80 nucleotides in length. Their secondary structure includes four short double-helical elements and three loops (D, anti-codon, and T loops). Further hydrogen bonds mediate the characteristic L-shaped molecular structure. tRNAs have two regions of fundamental functional importance: the anti-codon, which is responsible for specific mRNA codon recognition, and the 3' end, to which the tRNAs corresponding amino acid is attached (by aminoacyl-tRNA synthetases). tRNAs cope with the degeneracy of the genetic code in two manners: having more than one tRNA (with a specific anti-codon) for a particular amino acid; and 'wobble' base-pairing, i.e. permitting non-standard base-pairing at the 3rd anti-codon position. The record is from RNAcentral. Lineage: Bacteria; Pseudomonadati; Pseudomonadota; Gammaproteobacteria; Vibrionales; Vibrionaceae.
GCGGAAGUGGCGGAAUUGGUAGACGCACCAGAUUUAGGUUACCAGAUUUAGGUUCUGGCGCCGUAAGGUGUGAGAGUUCAAGUCUCUCCUUCCGCACCA